UACGUAGGGACCGAGCGUUGUCCGGAAUCAUUGGGCGUAAAGAGCGUGUAGGCGGCUAUUUAAGUCCUGCGUGAAAUCCUGCGGCUCAACCGCAGACGGUCGUGGGAAACUGGAUGGCUAGAGUGCGGGAGAGGAGAGUGGAAUUCCCGGUGUAGCGGUGAAAUGCGCAGAUAUCGGGAAGAACACCAGUGGCGAAGGCGGCUCACUGGCCCGAUACUGACGCUGAGGCACGAAAGCGUGGGGAGCAAACAGG
RNAcentral lists this ribosomal RNA (253 nucleotides) under uncultured bacterium. Its description in RNAcentral is "partial 16S ribosomal RNA". It matches the Rfam family "Bacterial small subunit ribosomal RNA", at positions 524 to 776 of the family's 1533-position model. The record is from RNAcentral.